UACGUCGGGAGCAAGCGUUGUCCGGAAUCCUUGGGCGUAAAGAGCGUGUCGGCGGUUUGCUACGUCUGGUGUGAAAUCUUUCGGCUUAACCGGAAGCGGUCACUGGAAACUGGCAGACUUGAAUCUGGAAGAGGAGUGUGGAAUUCCUGGUGUAGCGGUGGAAUGCGCAGAUAUCAGGAGGAACACCUAUGGCGAAGGCAGCACUCUGGUACAUGAUUGACGCUGAGACGCGAAAGCGUGGGGAGCAAACAGG
This 253-nucleotide ribosomal RNA is filed under the name uncultured bacterium. RNAcentral's name for it is "partial 16S ribosomal RNA". It matches the Rfam family "Bacterial small subunit ribosomal RNA", at positions 524 to 776 of the family's 1533-position model. The record is from RNAcentral.